Molecule: ribosomal RNA, 121 nt
Filed under: Petromyzon marinus (sea lamprey)
Lineage: Eukaryota; Metazoa; Chordata; Hyperoartia; Petromyzontiformes; Petromyzontidae
Source: RNAcentral
GCCUACAGUCAAAUCACCCAGAAUGCGCCCCAUCUCUCGUCAGAUAUCAGAAGCCAAGCAGAUGUGAGCCUGGAUAAUGCUUGGAUGGGCCACCACCAUGCAAAACAGGUUGUUAGAGGCU